RNAcentral lists this ribosomal RNA (429 nucleotides) under bacterium. Its description in RNAcentral is "partial 16S ribosomal RNA". It matches the Rfam family "Bacterial small subunit ribosomal RNA", at positions 355 to 776 of the family's 1533-position model. The record is from RNAcentral.
UGGGGAAUCUUCCGCAAUGGACGAAAGUCUGACGGAGCAACGCCGCGUGAGUGAUGACGGCCUUCGGGUUGUAAAGCUCUGUUAAUCGGGACGAAUGGUUCUUGUGCGAAUAGUGCGAGGAUUUGACGGUACCGGAAUAGAAAGCCACGGCUAACUACGUGCCAGCAGCCGCGGUAAUACGUAGGUGGCAAGCGUUGUCCGGAAUUAUUGGGCGUAAAGCGCGCGCAGGCGGAUUGGUAAGUCUGUCUUAAAAGUUCGGGGCUUAACCCCGUGAUGGGAUGGAAACUGCCAAUCUAGAGGAUCGGAGAGGAAAGGGGAAUUCCUAGUGUAGCGGUGAAAUGCGUAGAUAUUAGGAAGAACACCAGUGGCGAAGGCGACUUUCUGGACGAAAACUGACGCUGAGGCGCGAAAGCCAGGGGAGCGAACGGG